UGUGAGCUCGAUGAGUAGGGCGGGACACGUGGUAUCCUGUCUGAAUAUGGGGGGACCAUCCUCCAAGGCUAAAUACUCCUGACUGACCGAUAGUGAACCAGUACCGUGAGGGAAAGGCGAAAAGAACCCCGGCGAGGGGAGUGAAAAAGAACCUGAAACCGUGUACGUACAAGCAGUGGGAGCACGCUUAGGCGUGUGACUGCGUACCUUUUGUAUAAUGGGUCAGCGACUUAUAUUCUGUAGCAAGGUUAACCGAAUAGGGGAGCCGAAGGGAAACCGAGUCUUAACUGGGCGUUAAGUUGCAGGGUAUAGACCCGAAACCCGGUGAUCUAGCCAUGGGCAGGUUGAAGGUUGGGUAACACUAACUGGAGGACCGAACCGACUAAUGUUGAAAAAUUAGCGGAUGACUUGUGGCUGGGGGUGAAAGGCCAAUCAAACCGGGAGAUAGCUGGUUCUCCCCGAAAGCUAUUUAGGUAGCGCCUCGUGAAUUCAUCUCCGGGGGUAGAGCACUGUUUCGGCAAGGGGGUCAUCCCGACUUACCAACCCGAUGCAAACUGCGAAUACCGGAGAAUGUUAUUACGGGAGACACACGGCGGGUGCUAACGUCCGUCGUGAAGAGGGAAACAACCCAGACCGCCAGCUAAGGUCCCAAAGUCAUGGUUAAGUGGGAAACGAUGUGGGAAGGCCCAGACAGCCAGGAUGUUGGCUUAGAAGCAGCCAUCAUUUAAAGAAAGCGUAAUAGCUCACUGGUCGAGUCGGCCUGCGCGGAAGAUGUAACGGGGCUAAACCAUGCACCGAAGCUGCGGCAGCGACGCUUAUGCGUUGUUGGGUAGGGGAGCGUUCUGUAAGCCUGUGAAGGUGUGCUGUGAGGUAUGCUGGAGGUAUCAGAAGUGCGAAUGCUGACAUAAGUAACGAUAAAGCGGGUGAAAAGCCCGCUCGCCGGAAGACCAAGGGUUCCUGUCCAACGUUAAUCGGGGCAGGGUGAGUCGACCCCUAAGGCGAGGCCGAAAGGCGUAGUCGAUGGGAAACAGGUUAAUAUUCCUGUACUUGGUGUUACUGCGAAGGGGGGACGGAGAAGGCUAUGUUGGCCGGGCGACGGUUGUCCCGGUUUAAGCGUGUAGGCUGGUUUUCCAGGCAAAUCCGGAAAAUCAAGGCCGAGGCGUGAUGACGAGGCACUACGGUGCUGAAGCAACAAAUGCCCUGCUUCCAGGAAAAGCCUCUAAGCAUCAGGUAACAUCAAAUCGUACCCCAAACCGACACAGGUGGUCAGGUAGAGAAUACCAAGGCGCUUGAGAGAACUCGGGUGAAGGAACUAGGCAAAAUGGUGCCGUAACUUCGGGAGAAGGCACGCUGAUACGUAGGUGAAGCGACUUGCUCGUGGAGCUGAAAUCAGUCGAAGAUACCAGCUGGCUGCAACUGUUUAUUAAAAACACAGCACUGUGCAAACACGAAAGUGGACGUAUACGGUGUGACGCCUGCCCGGUGCCGGAAGGUUAAUUGAUGGGGUUAGCGCAAGCGAAGCUCUUGAUCGAAGCCCCGGUAAACGGCGGCCGUAACUAUAACGGUCCUAAGGUAGCGAAAUUCCUUGUCGGGUAAGUUCCGACCUGCACGAAUGGCGUAAUGAUGGCCAGGCUGUCUCCACCCGAGACUCAGUGAAAUUGAACUCGCUGUGAAGAUGCAGUGUACCCGCGGCAAGACGGAAAGACCCCGUGAACCUUUACUAUAGCUUGACACUGAACAUUGAGCCUUGAUGUGUAGGAUAGGUGGGAGGCUUUGAAGUGUGGACGCCAGUCUGCAUGGAGCCGACCUUGAAAUACCACCCUUUAAUGUUUGAUGUUCUAACGUGGACCCGUGAUCCGGGUUGCGGACAGUGUCUGGUGGGUAGUUUGACUGGGGCGGUCUCCUCCUAAAGAGUAACGGAGGAGCACGAAGGUUGGCUAAUCCUGGUCGGACAUCAGGAGGUUAGUGCAAUGGCAUAAGCCAGCUUGACUGCGAGCGUGACGGCGCGAGCAGGUGCGAAAGCAGGUCAUAGUGAUCCGGUGGUUCUGAAUGGAAGGGCCAUCGCUCAACGGAUAAAAGGUACUCCGGGGAUAACAGGCUGAUACCGCCCAAGAGUUCAUAUCGACGGCGGUGUUUGGCACCUCGAUGUCGGCUCAUCACAUCCUGGGGCUGAAGUAGGUCCCAAGGGUAUGGCUGUUCGCCAUUUAAAGUGGUACGCGAGCUGGGUUUAGAACGUCGUGAGACAGUUCGGUCCCUAUCUGCCGUGGGCGCUGGAGAACUGAGGGGGGCUGCUCCUAGUACGAGAGGACCGGAGUGGACGCAUCACUGGUGUUCGGGUUGUCAUGCCAAUGGCACUGCCCGGUAGCUAAAUGCGGAAGAGAUAAGUGCUGAAAGCAUCUAAGCACGAAACUUGCCCCGAGAUGAGUUCUCCCUGACCCUUUAAGGGUCCUGAAGGAACGUUGAAGACGACGACGUUGAUAGGCCGGGUGUGUAAGCGCAGCGAUGCGUUGAGCUAACCGGUACUAAUGAACCGUGAGGCUUAACCUUACAACGCCGAAG
This 2559-nucleotide ribosomal RNA is filed under the name Escherichia coli. RNAcentral's name for it is "partial 23S ribosomal RNA". It matches the Rfam family "Bacterial large subunit ribosomal RNA", at positions 398 to 2925 of the family's 2925-position model. RNAcentral also lists the same sequence under 1 other name. Lineage: Bacteria; Pseudomonadati; Pseudomonadota; Gammaproteobacteria; Enterobacterales; Enterobacteriaceae. The record is from RNAcentral.